GAUGAACGCUAGCUACAGGCUUAACACAUGCAAGUCGAGGGGAAACGACAUCGAAAGCUUGCUUUUGAUGGGCGUCGACCGGCGCACGGGUGAGUAACGCGUAUCCAACCUGCCCAUCACUUGGGAAUAACCUUGCGAAAGUAAGACUAAUACCCAAUGACAUCCCACGAAGACAUCUGAAUGGGAUUAAAGAUUUAUCGGUGAUGGAUGGGGAUGCGUCUGAUUAGCUUGUUGGCGGGGUAACGGCCCACCAAGUCAACGAUCAGUAGGGGUUCUGAGAGGAAGGUCCCCCACAUUGGAACUGAGACACCGUCCAUACUCCUACGGGAGGCAGCAGUGAUGAAUAUUGGUCAAUGGGCGAGAGCCUGAACCAGCCAAGUAGCGUGCAGGAUGACGGCCCUAUGGGUUGUAAACUGCUUUUAUAAGGGAAUAACGUGGGUAUCGUGAGACUUUUUGCAUGUACCUUAUGAAUAAGGACCGGCUAAGUCCGUG
Molecule: ribosomal RNA, 492 nt
Filed under: uncultured bacterium
Lineage: Bacteria
Description: partial 16S ribosomal RNA
Rfam family: Bacterial small subunit ribosomal RNA
Source: RNAcentral